Long non-coding RNA from Gopherus flavomarginatus (Mexican gopher tortoise), 1088 nucleotides. RefSeq lists it as uncharacterized. NCBI's taxonomy places the organism in Eukaryota, Metazoa, Chordata, Testudines, Testudinidae. The record is from RefSeq and is a predicted model, not a curated record. The transcript is spliced from 2 exons.
UGUUGUAGGGUAAAAAUAGCAACUAAAGCAUUAUGUUGAUUUGCUCUGUGUCCAAUUUAGCUUGUUUUGGGGGAUUAAAAAAUAAUAUAGUGAUCUUUUGGGAAAAAAAUUAUUAUUCAAAAACAAAUGCUUGUGAAAUGUAUCCCAAUCCUCCAAAUAGGAGCUGCUGAUCAAUUGUGACCUCUAAAGUUUCUUAAAAUAUGAAAAAUGCUUUAUUGACCAGAGACAUUGGGUUAAUUUUUAAGGUGGAAUGUUGACAUGCACUGUUUCAUAAUUUUGAUGUGCUGUGUCUGAAUGUAUAUUGACAAUAAGCUGAAAUAAUUACAUGCACCAAUCUUUUACUGUGUCUUUCAUGCCUGAAUUAUGAGUAUUGCAAAUGGACCCCAGCAAAAUUUACGUUGUACUCAUAGACUUUAAGGCCAGAAAGGACCAUCAUGAUAAUCUAGUCUGACCUCGUGCACAAUGCAGGCCACGGAAUUUCACCCACCCUUACCUACUGACUGACUUCUGACUCUUAAUAUAAUAGGAAUAAGCUACAGGAACUGCAGUAUAUUCUAAAAGUAUACUUUGUCUGACCUGUUAGAUAUAAUGCAAAAUUAUUCUGAUUAAUAGGAGCAUCAACAUCAUAUUGAUGAUGUCUCUGCUACUGAGUUGGCCUUAUGGAUAAUAAGUUUAUGGCGUAUAAUAAUCUGCAUUGAUCAUACUAUGAUGAUAAAGCUUAAGAACAUCUGCAGUUCUGACAUCUUUUCAAAGCUUGUGCUUGUUGCUGGUACGCAUUUGUCCCACAGUUGGAAAUACUCAGACAAUCAAAUUUCUAGUCAUUUUAUAUCUGAAUAAAGAGAGUUUUGGUAAGACCUAAUUCUGCAGGUUAGAGAAUGCUCUCAGUGAAUCAGGUGCUUACAGGAUCAUGAAUUAUGUGUCCAGAGAAUACUGCACAGGUAAGAGUGAACAAAAGCUGUAAGUGUGUCGAAGGGCUAUAAACAUGGCUUGUAAUAAGCAAAAAUCAUGAUAUAGAUAGGUGGGCUUAAUCAUAUUAUCUAAGGUUAGGUGUUAUGUAUAUGAUGGCAAUCUUAACCCCCUCUCCCCCC